GGGUUGUGAGGUUAAGCGACUAAGCGUACACGGUGGAUGCCCUGGCAGUCAGAGGCGAUGAAGGGCGUGCUAAUCUGCGAUAAGCGCCGGUAAGGUGAUAUGAACCGUUAUAACCGGCGAUACCCGAAUGGGGAAACCCAGUGUGACUCGUCACACUAUCAUUAACUGAAUCCAUAGGUUAAUGAGGCGAACCGGGGGAACUGAAACAUCUAAGUACCCCGAGGAAAAGAAAUCAACCGAGAUUCCCCCAGUAGCGGCGAGCGAACGGGGAGGAGCCCAGAGCCUGAAUCAGCAUGUGUGUUAGUGGAAGCGUCUGGAAAGGCGCGCGAUACAGGGUGACAGCCCCGUACACAAAAGCGCAUGUGCUGUGAGCUCGAUGAGUAGGGCGGGACACGUGGUAUCCUGUCUGAAUAUGGGGGGACCAUCCUCCAAGGCUAAAUACUCCUGACUGACCGAUAGUGAACCAGUACCGUGAGGGAAAGGCGAAAAGAACCCCGGCGAGGGGAGUGAAAAAGAACCUGAAACCGUGUACGUACAAGCAGUGGGAGCACCCUUUGGGUGUGACUGCGUACCUUUUGUAUAAUGGGUCAGCGACUUAUAUUCUGUAGCAAGGUUAACCGAAUAGGGGAGCCGGAGGGAAACCGAGUCUUAACCGGGCGUUAAGUUGCAGGGUAUAGACCCGAAACCCGGUGAUCUAGCCAUGGGCAGGUUGAAGGUUGGGUAACACUAACUGGAGGACCGAACCGACUAAUGUUGAAAAAUUAGCGGAUGACCUGUGGCUGGGGGUGAAAGGCCAAUCAAACCGGGAGAUAGCUGGUUCUCCCCGAAAGCUAUUUAGGUAGCGCCUCGUGAAUUCAUCUCCGGGGGUAGAGCACUGUUUCGGCUAGGGGGCCAUCCCGGCUUACCAACCCGAUGCAAACUGCGAAUACCGGAGAAUGUUAUCACGGGAGACACACGGCGGGUGCUAACGUCCGUCGUGAAGAGGGAAACAACCCAGACCGCCAGCUAAGGUCCCAAAGUCAUGGUUAAGUGGGAAACGAUGUGGGAAGGCCCAGACAGCCAGGAUGUUGGCUUAGAAGCAGCCAUCAUUUAAAGAAAGCGUAAUAGCUCACUGGUCGAGUCGGCCUGCGCGGAAGAUGUAACGGGGCUAAACCAUGCACCGAAGCUGCGGCAGCGACACUGUGUGUUGUUGGGUAGGGGAGCGUUCUGUAAGCCUGUGAAGGUGUGUCGUGAGGCAUGCUGGAGGUAUCAGAAGUGCGAAUGCUGACAUAAGUAACGAUAAAGCGGGUGAAAAGCCCGCUCGCCGGAAGACCAAGGGUUCCUGUCCAACGUUAAUCGGGGCAGGGUGAGUCGACCCCUAAGGCGAGGCCGAAAGGCGUAGUCGAUGGGAAACGGGUUAAUAUUCCCGUACUUGGUGUUACUGCGAAGGGGGGACGGAGAAGGCUAUGUUGGCCGGGCGACGGUUGUCCCGGUUUAAGCGUGUAGGUGUGUGUUCCAGGUAAAUCCGGUUCACUUUAACACUGAGGCGUGACGACGAGGCACUACGGUGCUGAAGCAACAAAUGCCCUGCUUCCAGGAAAAGCCUCUAAGCAUCAGGUAACAUCAAAUCGUACCCCAAACCGACACAGGUGGUCAGGUAGAGAAUACCAAGGCGCUUGAGAGAACUCGGGUGAAGGAACUAGGCAAAAUGGUGCCGUAACUUCGGGAGAAGGCACGCUGACACGUAGGUGAAGUGAUUUACUCAUGGAGCUGAAGUCAGUCGAAGAUACCAGCUGGCUGCAACUGUUUAUUAAAAACACAGCACUGUGCAAACACGAAAGUGGACGUAUACGGUGUGACGCCUGCCCGGUGCCGGAAGGUUAAUUGAUGGGGUCAGCGCAAGCGAAGCUCCUGAUCGAAGCCCCGGUAAACGGCGGCCGUAACUAUAACGGUCCUAAGGUAGCGAAAUUCCUUGUCGGGUAAGUUCCGACCUGCACGAAUGGCGUAAUGAUGGCCAGGCUGUCUCCACCCGAGACUCAGUGAAAUUGAACUCGCUGUGAAGAUGCAGUGUACCCGCGGCAAGACGGAAAGACCCCGUGAACCUUUACUAUAGCUUGACACUGAACAUUGAGCCUUGAUGUGUAGGAUAGGUGGGAGGCUUUGAAGUGUGGACGCCAGUCUGCAUGGAGCCGACCUUGAAAUACCACCCUUUAAUGUUUGAUGUUCUAACGUGGACCCGUUACCCGGGUUGCGGACAGUGUCUGGUGGGUAGUUUGACUGGGGCGGUCUCCUCC
Molecule: ribosomal RNA, 2273 nt
Filed under: Salmonella enterica
Lineage: Bacteria; Pseudomonadati; Pseudomonadota; Gammaproteobacteria; Enterobacterales; Enterobacteriaceae
Also listed under: 1 other name
Description: partial 23S ribosomal RNA
Rfam family: Bacterial large subunit ribosomal RNA
Source: RNAcentral